AAUCAACGCUGGCGGCGCGCUUAACACAUGCAAGUCGCACGAGAAAGGGAGCAAUCCUGAGUAAAGUGGCGUACGGGUGAGUAACACGUCGGAAUCUACCUCUUGGCGGGGAAUAACCCUGGGAAACCGGGGCUAAUACCGCCUAAGCUCGUGAGAGGAAGGCAGCAAUGCACCGAGAGAGGAGCCCGCGGCCGAUUAGCUAGUUGGUGGGGUAAUGGCUCACCAAGGCGAAGAUCGGUAGCCGGCCUGAGAGGGAACACGGCCACACUGGCACUGAACCACGGGCCAGACUCCUACGGGAGGCAGCAGUGGGGAAUCUUGCACAAUGGGGGAAACCCUGAUGCAGCGACGACGCGUGAGCGAUGAAGCCCUUCGGGGUGUAAAGCUCUUUCGACAGGAACGAUAAUGACGGUACCUGGAGAAGAAGCGGCGGCUAACUACGUG
This 444-nucleotide ribosomal RNA is filed under the name uncultured bacterium. Its description in RNAcentral is "partial 16S ribosomal RNA". It matches the Rfam family "Bacterial small subunit ribosomal RNA", at positions 29 to 507 of the family's 1533-position model. The record is from RNAcentral.